GUGAUCCUAUCUCAAUUCUGAGGGGCUGUAUGCUCAGCAACAACAUGGCCAGCAUGUAGGAAAGGAGAUCGAUGUGGGGAUUUUCAAAGACGUUGAAGAAGCUGCAGAGUUUGCCAUUACAAACCCUGAACCCCCACUGGAGGACCUGUGUAACCACAUCUUCUGCAAUGAUCCACCCCUGGAUGUGCGUGGCACAAACCCAUGGACCAAGUUGAAUAAACAGUCAUGGAAAUCAGGAUUGGGGAUGAAAUACUCAAGGACUUACAGAUGGAUCAGUUGAAGAGAGAGUGGAAAUGAAUGUGAAAGAGC
Siniperca chuatsi (mandarin fish) is the source of this 309-nucleotide long non-coding RNA. RefSeq lists it as uncharacterized. Lineage: Eukaryota; Metazoa; Chordata; Actinopteri; Centrarchiformes; Sinipercidae. The transcript is spliced from 3 exons. The record is from RefSeq and is a predicted model, not a curated record.